CGGUGGCCAUGGCUGAGGCGUCGCCGCAGCCCGGACGGUACUUCUGCCACUGCUGUUCGGUGGAGAUCGUGCCGCGCCUGCCGGAUUACAUCUGCCCACGGUGCGAGUCUGGCUUCAUCGAGGAGCUUCCAGAAGAGACCAGGCUCUUUCUUCCUGUGCAGGAACACAGAAAACGGCUCAGCCCCCUCCACAGCCCCUACUGACCAGAACCGGCAGCCAUUUGAGGUGCGUCAGGGUCCCUGGGCCCAGGCCCGCCUGCCAUGGCCGUGGACUAGAGGUGCUGCCCAUGGCGGCCGGCAGCACCUGGCGGGCCCCAGGCUGCGGGCGGCUCGGACUUGGCCAUGGCCGCUCCUGUUUGGAGGUGUGCACGUGGGUCCCAUGUCCCCAGCAGGCAGGCGCCUUCAGUCCGUCUUUAACCUCACCCUCCAAAUGUUCAACGGCAGAAGGGUUUUUAUGAUUUUAAAUUAUUACUGCUUUGAAAUAAAUGGACGUUUGAGCC
RNAcentral lists this long non-coding RNA (499 nucleotides) under Rattus norvegicus (Norway rat). Its description in RNAcentral is "long non-coding RNA NONRATT025595". The record is from RNAcentral. Lineage: Eukaryota; Metazoa; Chordata; Mammalia; Rodentia; Muridae.